UUUGGAUAAGUCAUUUGCCAACAUUUCUGAGGGAGAGAGAAAAACUACCAACUUCAAAAAAAAUUUAUUUAACUUUUAAAAAUAAAUAUGAAAUAUUUAGAAACAUUGUUCACUUGAUGGCAGUGAACAAAUGGUCUUUAAAAAGUUUUUUUUUAAUGGGCAGAUUGGUCUUACUUCCUAAAAACGACUUGUUUUUUGGUUAAACAAAAUGUGUGUAUGUGCUGGUAACAUAUCAUCAGAGAACAAAUCUUAGUCCUAUCUUUCUUUCAUUCUCUUCUGGCCUAAAAUAUCAGGAUUGGGAUUUGAAUAAGCAGUUAAACAAUGAUGAACAGUAUUCAUUUAUAAAUAAUAUGACAUUUAUUUAGAGCUUUAAAGAUUUGCAAAGUACUUUACCCAUAUUAUCUCAUUUAAUCCUCUCAGUAACUCUUUGAGGUAGGUGCUAUUAUUAUCCCCAUUUUCAUAUGAGGAAAGCAAGGAAGAAAGAGAUUAAGUGAUUUGCUCAGCAUCACAGAGCUUCUGAGUGCUUAAGGACAGAUUUGAACUCAUGCUUUCCAGAGCUCCUGCCUCCAAGACCAGCCCUUUAUCUCCUAUACCAUAAGAUUCUGUCCAUGUUAGAAAAGAUUUUGCCCUACUAUAUACUCUGAAAGUAUAAGAAAAUAAAAGAAACUCAGUCUAGGAACCUGGUAGAGUCUGGAAAGUCAUGCCACUGUUAAGGGUAAAUUUUUAGGAUUGAGACUGAAUAUAUUAUUUAAUGGUCACCAGGGAUUUAAAUUCUAAAUCCCAAUGAAAUACUCAAGUCAGAAUAGAAUUUUAUGGUGGCUCAUUUACAAUAGAAGGAUGGAAUUAAGAAUGAGGGAGAAAGAGGAAAAAGGGUGGAAGAUCUACUCUGGCCUGAGCCAGGGGGAGUUCAGAGGCCUCAGCCAUGAGGCUUCCCCAAGAUGAGGGGCCCCUCUGAAGGCUGUUGCCUUCAGAAAGCCAGGGAAAGAGGAUUCAGCCUCAGCACUCACCACAUGGUCGCCUAAGGGAAGCAGUCUCAGGUCUCCAUGCAUCAGCCCUCCAAGUCAAGAACCACCUUAAAAAGCCAACAAAGUCCCCCUCACAGGAAGUGAUGUGAAAUAUAAAGGCAAUUCUUUACAUCACUUCCUAUGUCUCACAUGUACCAAUGGUGGCUUAAACUUGGCUUAGGACAGCCCAUCCUCCCCUACACUUAAUCCUUAAGUGGGGGUGUAUACAUUCCUGGUUGCUAAAAUUCUAAAGACUAAGCAGGGUGGAGUAAAUCUAAAAUUCAUACCACCUAGAAACUGGGUAUUAGACUCUGCAUCACAGACAGCUCUGGAGCAAGUGUUAGACACAUUGAAGCCUCAGCCCAUGGACAGAGUAAAGCCUAAAACUCUGCCUGGUGAGAAUCUCAUGAACUUCACAUUAUAUAUAAUCAUACUCAUCACAAUGUAUUAACUAUGAUAAAUUUCAUCAUGACUGGACUGGCUAAUAGAGAAUUAACACUUGCAACCACAGUAAUUUCUGAAUGCUUAUUACUAAGACACACAAAGAUUAUGACCCAUAUCCAUGAAGAGACAAGCUUUAUAGACAAAACCUCUGAAGAUGUAAAUAUUACCUAUAAUUACUACUAUAAAAUAGUAAUUAAAUAUAUUUUCAGUAGGGAUAUUAAUAACCUGUUGCCUCUAUUUCUUUUUUUUUAAUUAAGUUUCUGGACAGCUUUCAACUAUUCCUGUUCACAAUUAUACCCACUGAUAUAUCAGAGCCUGGGUUGGCACACAGAGCAGGUAUUCUAAGUUAGUGAGCUGAGUAUUUCUUCCUGCCAGCUUGAGGGACAGGAAAUAUCUCUGGAGACACAAAACAUAGGAGUACUUCUAGCCUACAUUAUAAAAUCUCAUUUUCCAACAGUGAAAACUAUAAUAACUUCUAUUUCAGGGUGUCAGGCAUAGAAUAUUUGGGCUAGAAGAAAUCUUAUAACUCAUCCAUUGUUUUGAGGAAUGAGGUCCAGGAGAGGCAGAAUCAUUUGCCCAAGGUCACACAUCUACUUUCAGGAAUUCAAGUUUAGUCCUUUAACAUACUUUUUAGUACAUCACACCAAAAUCCAUAGAUUACUUUUAAGCGACAAAAAUGAGGUCUUGAUGACAAAGACUUCUGGAUGAAUCCUAUAUCUUCUAUAAUUAAAGAUAGCAAAGAAAAAAAGUACAGUGUCUUCACAAGCAUUAUUUCAUAAAAGGUUUUCUUUAAUUUUUAACAUAGUAGAAACAGAGAAAUAGCCAGAAGGACCCACACAAUUGACAAUUUAUUGCCAAAUUGUGCAGCUGUUUUCAUAGUAUCCCUGAAAUUUUCUUCCCCUUUUUUAGAUCCUAAUAACCACAAUAAUUUUUUAUAUAAUAAAAAUGCAAAAAGGCUUUUUUUUUUCCAGUUCUAAAUCUUAUGACACCUUAAAGAUCAUUUGGUCCUUAUUUUACAAGGAGGAAAAAUGAGGCUCAGAGUGAUCAAAUGGCUUGUCUGUCGUCACAUAAAUUAUUAGCAGCAGAGCCAGGAUUCAAACUCAAGUCUUUUCUCUUCAAAUGCCAGACCCUCAAAUCCAAUAAAAUUUUUAUUUUACAUUUUUGUUGAAUCAGUGAAAAAUGUGUCUCCUUGCCUUCCUAUCCUUUCCUCAAUUGAGAACAGAAAGAAAAACUGGUUCUCUGUUAUAAACAUGUAGAGUCAAGCGAAACAUUCCUACAUUGUGCAUGUGCUAUCUACCUACAUACCUAACUUAUCUGUAUCACUCUAGCUACCUGUCUGUCUUAUUCUAUAACUGAAGUCUUUCCCCUCAAUAGUAUGAACAAUCAGUGGUAAUCAGGCAGAACAACAGUAAAGGCUAGGCAACUGGAGUUAAAUGACUAGCCCAGAGCUAGAAAGUGUCUGAGGCCAGAACCCUGGCCCUCCUGUUUCUAGGCUAGCCCUGAGCUACCUAGCUGCCCUCCUAUUGGAAUCUGACUAUUCUUAUCUCUCUAGAAAAUUCCAGGAAGAAUAUUGAUGAGGAACAAAAGAGGAAGAUUUUCACUCAGAAUUCUCAUUCAUAAAGACUGAGGAAGGUUGGCUUAACUCAGGAGGAACCCCUGAAGGAUGACAAAGCUGAGAACAACCUCAGCCAUGGAACUAGAACAGAGACAACCAUUUGGGUGUACCUAAUAUACCAAUUUGAUUAUGUCACUCUUCUACUGAAGGAUCCCCAAUGAGAGGGAUUUAUCUGAUGCCCACUACUCCAUCCCUUCUUCUUCAAUCAAAAGAAAAAUAUAUUCUAUUAGGACCAACAAGCACAGAGUUCUUUCCUGGAGGAAAACGGAUAGGAGUGAGAUGAUUACAUAUUGUCACAGAUUUCAAAAGUUGCCUCAGUCCUCUCGAAUCCAUGAUAAUAUGAGAGAUGACCAAACGCGACAGAAAAGAAUUAAAGCAAGAAGAUGAAAAUGACAUUGAGAAUGAAUCAAAUUUACCAAAGUAAUUCAAUUUCCAGUGUUGAUACUCUCUCGUCAAUAAAUAAAAAACAAUUUGGUUCUUAGUCUUUAUUGAGAAAUUGACUUGAGUAUUUUAUAUAUGACUUCCUGUUUACAGAUCACAUAGAUAUAUAUGACAUUUUAAGGCAUACAUGGUGGUCUUCUUUAUAUUAUGCAGCUGUUUUGCCUCCAGAUGACUUCAGGUCAUCAGAAGACUUUGGCACUAAACUAUAUUCUGUCACUAGGGAUGUGUGAGUUUGUGAGAUGGAGGUGAUGGCCAAGACUAAAAAGUGAUGCGCUGUCUUCUAAGCAGUAUAAGUUGUUUUGUUUUGUUUUUCCUAAUACUAGACAGGGGCAGUCAGAAUUUAAUUUAAAGGCACUAUUUCUAAUACAUGUACAGUAAGCGUAAGAUCAUGGACCACAGAAUUCCAGUUGGAAGGGAAAUUAUUACCUUUAGACCAUAAAGUCCAACUCUCAUCAUUUUUCCAAAAGAGGAAAUUGAGGCAGAGAUUAAGUGACUUGUGCAAGAUCAUACAGCUAGUAUUGAAGGAAGGAUUUGAACAGAGGUCUUCUGUUUUCAAUUUAAAUGCUCCAUCUACUAUGCUAAACUGAUUCUAAGAAAAUAUAUUUUUGCAGAUUCUGAUGGACAUGUUUAUAAUAUUCAGUCAAUUCCACAACAUAUUUUAAAACUUGGCAUUCUAACCUUCAGUGCUAUAAGGUAUUAAUAGCCAUAAUUAUAGGAAAAAAUUAUUUUCUUUUGAAUUAUUGCAGUUCUUCAGUUUUGGUUCAAUGUGUAUCAAAAAGUAACAUAAAAUUCUGAUAGAUUUUACAAAGGAAACGCUGUGGAGACUAAAGAAAGCUAAAAUGCUGAGUUUUAUCUUACACGGACACUUUGGUGAAUCUAAAUAUUCCAUUUUAAAUGAAUAAUGAUACUUAUAAACCUUGGCUAUAUUUUGAAUAACAUUUUGAAACUUUCAUUAUAUAACUA
Long non-coding RNA from Monodelphis domestica (gray short-tailed opossum), 4467 nucleotides. RefSeq lists it as uncharacterized. NCBI's taxonomy places the organism in Eukaryota, Metazoa, Chordata, Mammalia, Didelphimorphia, Didelphidae. The record is from RefSeq and is a predicted model, not a curated record.